GACGAACGCUGGCGGCGUGCCUAAUACAUGCAAGUAGAACGCACAGUUUAUACCGUAGCUUGCUACACCAUAAACUGUGAGUUGCGAACGGGUGAGUAACGCGUAGGUAACCUGCCUGGUAGCGGGGGAUAACUAUUGGAAACGAUAGCUAAUACCGCAUAAUAUUAAUUAUUGCAUGAUAAUUGAUUGAAAGAUGCAAUUGCAUCACUACCAGAUGGACCUGCGUUGUAUUAGCUAGUAGGUGAGGUAACGGGUCACCUAGGGGACGAUACAUAGCCGACCUGGGAGGGUGAUCGGCCACACUGGGACUGAGACACGGCCCCGACUCCUACGGGAGGCAGCAGUAGGGAAACUUCGGCAAUGGACGAAAGUCUGACCGAGCAACGCCGCGUGAGUGAAGAAGGUUUUCGGAUCGUAAAGCUCUGUUGUAAGAGAAGAACGGGUGUGAGAGUGGAAAGUUCACACUGUGACGGUAUCUUACCAGAAAGGGACGGCUAACUACGUG
This 505-nucleotide ribosomal RNA is filed under the name uncultured bacterium. RNAcentral describes it as "partial 16S ribosomal RNA". It matches the Rfam family "Bacterial small subunit ribosomal RNA", at positions 28 to 507 of the family's 1533-position model. The record is from RNAcentral.